GAUUGGAUAAGCGCUGAAAGCAUCUAAGUGCGAAGCCAGCCGCAAGAUGAGAACUCCAUUGAGGGUCGUCAGAGACGAUGACGUUGAUAGGAUGCAGGUGUAAAGACAGUGAUGUCAAAGCCGAGCAUUACUAAUUGCCCGAACACUUUCUUUAG
This 155-nucleotide ribosomal RNA is filed under the name Prevotella sp. AM34-19LB. Its description in RNAcentral is "Bacterial large subunit ribosomal RNA". It matches the Rfam family "Bacterial large subunit ribosomal RNA", at positions 2758 to 2925 of the family's 2925-position model. Lineage: Bacteria; Pseudomonadati; Bacteroidota; Bacteroidia; Bacteroidales; Prevotellaceae. The record is from Rfam by way of RNAcentral.